This is a long non-coding RNA of Linepithema humile (Argentine ant), 775 nucleotides long. RefSeq lists it as uncharacterized. The record is from RefSeq and is a predicted model, not a curated record. Lineage: Eukaryota; Metazoa; Arthropoda; Insecta; Hymenoptera; Formicidae.
CAAGUUACCAACAACUCUUUGAUAGUUACGAACAUUUGUCCAGCUGUCGCUAGUAUACAUAUAAAUGUCACCGCAUAAUACUUUUGCAAAGAUUAGCAAAAAUGAUUGAGCCGCGCAGUCAUUUGGACUUUGCAAACCCACAGAUCUGAGUUCACGCACUGCGAUCGCACAUAUAUACACAUAUACAGUUAAACUCACAUUCCCGCAUCACACAAGUGAUUAAGAAUCUUGAAAGAGAAACAGUUAAAAAUAGUGAUUCGGACGCCGGGUCUUGCUGUAAGCGUUGGCCAAAUAGGCAUAGUUCUUAACGGUCCUUUAUAUCUGUAUUUUUAAAAUGCGAUGACCAAAUACUGGCAGUAUUAGCAGAUUUACAGCAAAUUUGACCAAAUGUUUCUGUUCCAUAUUUUUGCUGUAUUAUAUUACAAUGUGUAAUAUUACAACAUUGUUACAAUAUAACUGCCCAAUUUUGCGCUGUAUGGGAUAUGCGACAAAGCCUUCAAAAUAUCAGCGCAGUGUAAAAAUUCAUGCAGUAUUACAAUGAAAAUUGCGGAAGUUAUUGAUUUAUAAUAUGGAGAAAUGCGUCAAUUUCAUUACGACGAUGCGACGCGACAUCGCGAAAUAUCUCCCUCUUCUUCUCUCUCUCUUAUCGCGGGAGUCCUUGAAGUUCUCCAGGUCGAAAGAGAGGGGAAUCGUGCACCAGGCUCUACGCUAUGCAUCGAUAGACCUGCAUGUAAUUGUAUUUUUUUAAUAAAACAAAAAAAUGAAGUUAAUCUUC